Molecule: long non-coding RNA, 139 nt
Organism: Sapajus apella (tufted capuchin)
Lineage: Eukaryota; Metazoa; Chordata; Mammalia; Primates; Cebidae
Exons: 3
Source: RefSeq, a predicted model, not a curated record
CCUGAUUACCUUACUCCCUGACUCAGAGUCUUUUCUUUUUUUUUUUUUAGUUGAACAGUCAACUCUCUCCCAGGUGUUCAAGUCGCCUGCUGAAAAGGCACAGAGAUCUGUGUGAUUUCCCGUUCAGAAAUCCUCUGCC